UCUGUCGCUGACUCCUUUCGCAGAGACAGGAAUGUGAAGACAGAGAUUUUAAAAAGAAACACCCAGGGAAAACAAGCCAUAAAACACAUUUACAGGUGUAUUAGCAGGUUGUUACACAGCAGGACGUCACAUCCACAGACGUUAACACAGGAACAGUGAAUUUGGCUGUUAACCCUUUGUGAUACAGCUCCGUCUCAGCAGAUGCCAGUCUGUACUAUCUGCCUAUCAGAUUGCCGUGCUCCUCCCCUACAUUUAGCUUAAUCAUUAUGACAUAGUUAGGGCCUAUCGCUGUCUUCUUUACAUCAAACGAGAUUUUCUGCUACAAUCCUGCUCUGCAGUUUUGCUCUGCUGUGCUGUCUGUGUGGCAGCUCUGUGGUGACAGCAGGGGUUCGAUUAGAUUAGAUGAAACAUUAAUGAUCCCUACGAGGAAUCAGGCCAUUGCAGCACGCAGACACCGACAGUAUACAUCAGAGAGAGGGAAGUGAAACACAAAGACUGCGCAGAGGAUGUAUGCUAACAUGACUACUUAAAUUAUUAUUACUUAAACGGAUGACAGUGUACAUGAAGAGCAUUAGAAGGACUUUAUUAGAUGCCAUUGCAUAAUGAAAAUUUGCUCAUUUUCACAUUAACACACAUAUUUUCCCCUUUCAUGUCAGCCAAACUAAUGACUCCACUUUGUGCAUGUCAUCAUAGGCGUAGUAAUGUUCACUGAAGCUGUGUGUUUGUUCUCAAGGGUUAAAUAGCUUCAACAUUCCCAUACAAGAAAAUAUUACACAAGUAACCUUUGGAGGAAUUAAAAAUGAGGGAAAAGGAAUAAAAAAAAAACAGUAUGGGUCUUACUUACACAAAUGCUUUUAUAUAACUUGUCAAGAGGUAUAAAGCAUAUAAACCAUAGCUUCAUUACUCUUCAUAAACAUUGCCAUAUGUCAUUAUGAAUGUUUAUUAUCACUCAUUAAGGUUGUGUUAAAGUUGUUUUAAAGAUGCAUUCAUAUGAUUUGGUUCUUUUUUCUAGGAUAUAUCCAAGUAAGGCGCAUCCUCUUAUCUCAUAAUUCUUUGCAUGCAAAUAAAAUCAAGAUAGUGGACUCUCGAACUGAUGAAUAAUGGAAGUUGGUUUUAACUCAAUAAAGAGUUGUACAAAUGUAAAGAAAGACAGGUUGACAUUGGCUAUCUAGUUGCUAGCUUGCUGUCUUGUUAGCCAGGAGGCUAGCUGUUGCUAAGGGACAAGAGAGACACUAUUGCUGCAUUCGAGUUACCUCGGAGGUCAGAAAUCUGAGCUGAAAAUGACGUCACACCCACGUUACCAGCGUUUCAGUUACCAAGUCGGUAAAAAGCAAAAUCGGAGGUCUGAAACAAGAUGGCUACAUCUAUGAAAGUUAGUUUGGCUGGGUCCUCUGAAGGCUGCAGCUAGAGAGUCAACAGCUAUGCUAAUGAUUCUGUGGGGCUGUGCUUGGAACCAUAGGGUGCUAGCUAAGUGUUAACAUGAUGCUAAUAUGGCAACAAAAAGGCUGACUCAAACUCAUACUUUACAGUCAACUGUUAGCAUAUUGACAUUUGCUGUCCAGCCGCCAUUGCUACUGACUAUGUUAGUUUUGCAGGUCGUUUUUCAGGUAGGCCAAUGAAGUAGGUAAUCAGUUGAUAUAAAGGGCUAAAUGACUUUAAAAGCUUAUUCAAAAUUAACAUGGGGCUCCAGGAUGCGAUUUUUUUUCUUCAUAGGAUGGUGGGGGAAGGUCCCGCCUCCUUCGCUUCUGAUUGGUUAGAGACGCUGGAAACGUCAUCACACGCUCAAGCUGAGCGCGGGCUGUCGGCUCUGUAAACCAACUAGGACAUUGCAGAACAUUAUAGCGAUUCUGAAUCUCCUAACCCUAACCCUAACCCUAACCCUAACCCGA
Non-coding RNA from Xyrichtys novacula (pearly razorfish), 1889 nucleotides. NCBI's taxonomy places the organism in Eukaryota, Metazoa, Chordata, Actinopteri, Labriformes, Labridae. The record is from the annotation of a GenBank genome assembly.